UAUUGGUCAAUGGGGGAAACCCUGAACCAGCAACGCCGCGUGAGGGAAGACGGUUUUCGGAUUGUAAACCUCUGUCCUCUGUGAAGAUGAUGACGGUAGCAGAGGAGGAAGCUCCGGCUAACUACGUGCCAGCAGCCGCGGUAAUACGUAGGGAGCGAGCGUUGUCCGGAUUUACUGGGUGUAAAGGGUGCGUAGGCGGCUUGGCAAGUCAGUAGUGAAAUCCAUGGGCUUAACCCAUGAACUGCUAUUGAAACUGUCGAGUUUGAGUGAAGUAGAGGUAGGCGGAAUUCCCGGCGUAGCGGUGAAAUGCGUAGAGAUCGGGAGGAACACCAGUGGCGAAGGCGGCCUACUGGGCUUUAACUGACGCUGAGGCACGAAAGCGUGGGUAGCAAACAGG
RNAcentral lists this ribosomal RNA (397 nucleotides) under uncultured bacterium. RNAcentral describes it as "bacterial SSU rRNA". It matches the Rfam family "Bacterial small subunit ribosomal RNA", at positions 362 to 776 of the family's 1533-position model. The record is from RNAcentral.